GAAAUGCGAUAAGUAGUGUGAAUUGCAGAAUUCAGUGAAUCAUCGAAUCUUUGAAUGCACAUUGCGCCCCUUGGUAUUCCAUGGGGCAUGCCUGUUCGAGCGUCAUCUACACCCUCAAGCUCUGCUUGGUGUUGGGCGUCUUUGUCCCGCCUCCGCGCGCGGACUCGCCCCAAAUUCAUUGGCAGCGGUCCUUGCCUCCUCUCGCGCAGCACAUUGCGCUUCUCGAGGUGUUGCGGCCCGCGUCCAGAAAGCAAUCGUUACCGUCUUUGACCUCGGAUCAGGUAGGGAUACCCGCUGAACUUAAGC
This 306-nucleotide unclassified non-coding RNA is filed under the name plant metagenome. Its description in RNAcentral is "partial contains 5.8S ribosomal RNA, internal transcribed spacer 2, and large subunit ribosomal RNA". The stretch from base 1 to 105 matches the Rfam family "5.8S ribosomal RNA", at positions 50 to 154 of the family's 154-position model. The record is from RNAcentral.